GACGAACGCUGGCGGCGUGCCUAAUACAUGCAAGUAGAACGCUGAAGGAGGAGCUUGCUUCUCCGGAUGAGUUGCGAACGGGUGAGUAACGCGUAGGUAACCUGCCUGGUAGCGGGGGAUAACUAUUGGAAACGAUAGCUAAUACCGCAUAACAGUAGAUGUUGCAUGACAUUUGCUUAAAAGGUGCAAUUGCAUCACUACCAGAUGGACCUGCGUUGUAUUAGCUAGUUGGUGAGGUAACGGCUCACCAAGGCGACGAUACAUAGCCGACCUGAGAGGGUGAUCGGCCACACUGGGACUGAGACACGGCCCAGACUCCUACGGGAGGCAGCAGUAGGGAAUCUUCGGCAAUGGACGGAAGUCUGACCGAGCAACGCCGCGUGAGUGAAGAAGGUUUUCGGAUCGGAAAGCUCUGUUGUAAGAGAAGAACGAGUGUGAGAGUGGAAAGUUCACACUGUGACGGUAUCUUACCAGAAAGGGACGGCUAACUACGUG
Molecule: ribosomal RNA, 495 nt
Filed under: uncultured bacterium
Lineage: Bacteria
Description: partial 16S ribosomal RNA
Rfam family: Bacterial small subunit ribosomal RNA
Source: RNAcentral